Molecule: ribosomal RNA, 253 nt
Filed under: uncultured bacterium
Lineage: Bacteria
Description: partial 16S ribosomal RNA
Rfam family: Bacterial small subunit ribosomal RNA
Source: RNAcentral
GACAGAGGGUGCAAACGUUGCUCGGAAUUACUGGGCGUAAAGCGCGUGUAGGCGGACCGGAAAGUCGGGCGUGAAAGCCCUAGGCUCAACCUAGGAACUGCACUCGAAACUUCCGGCCUUGAGUGGUGGAGAGGGAAGUGGAAUUCCUGGUGUAGAGGUGAAAUUCGUAGAUAUCGGGAGGAACACCAGUGGCGAAGGCGGCGACCUGGGCCAAUAUUGACGCUGAGGUGCGAAAGCGUGGGGAGCAAACAGG